CAGGGAUUGCCCUAGUAACGGCGAGUGAAGCGGCAACAGCUCAAAUUUGAAAUCUGGCGUCUUUGGCGUCCGAGUUGUAAUUUGCAGAGGGCGCUUUGGCAUUGGCAGCGGUCCAAGUUCCUUGGAACAGGACGUCACAGAGGGUGAGAAUCCCGUACGUGGUCGCUAGCCUUUACCGUGUAAAGCCCCUUCGACGAGUCGAGUUGUUUGGGAAUGCAGCUCUAAAUGGGAGGUAAAUUUCUUCUAAAGCUAAAUACUGGCCAGAGACCGAUAGCGCACAAGUAGAGUGAUCGAAAGAUGAAAAGCACUUUGGAAAGAGAGUUAAAAAGCACGUGAAAUUGUUGAAAGGGAAGCGCUUGCAGCCAGACUUGCCUGUAGUUGCUCAUCCGGGUUUUUACCCGGUGCACUCUUCUAUAGGCAGGCCAGCAUCAGUUUGGGCGGUUGGAUAAAGGUCUCUGUCAUGUACCUCUCUUCGGGGAGAACUUAUAGGGGAGACGACAUGCAACCAGCCUGGACUGAGGUCCGCGCAUCUGCUAGGAUGCUGGCGUAAUGGCUGUAAGCGGCCCGUCUUGAAACACGGACCAAGGAGUCUAACAUCUAUGCGAGUGUUUGGGUGUCAAGCCCGAGCGCGUAAUGAAAGUGAACGGAGGUGGGAACCUUUCGGGGUGCACCAUCGACCGAUCCUGAUGUCUUCGGAUGGAUUUGAGUAAGAGCAUAGCUGUUGGGACCCGAAAGAUGGUGAACUAUGCUUGAAUAGGGUGAAGCCAGAGGAAACUCUGGUGGAGGCUCGCAGCGGUUCUGACGUGCAAAUCGAUCGUCAAAUUUGGGCAUAGGGGCGAAAGACUAAUCGAAC
RNAcentral lists this ribosomal RNA (853 nucleotides) under Paraboeremia rekkeri. RNAcentral describes it as "partial large subunit ribosomal RNA". It matches the Rfam family "Eukaryotic large subunit ribosomal RNA", at positions 69 to 940 of the family's 3401-position model. The record is from RNAcentral. Lineage: Eukaryota; Fungi; Ascomycota; Dothideomycetes; Pleosporales; Didymellaceae.